UUGAUUUUUUUGUGUGUUUAUUUCCUCAUUUUAGUAAGACCAUCAGGCCUUUUUGUAACCUUUGUCACAAGUCUUAAGUUACAAGUAUUUUGUAGGUAUGUGUUUUGUGCCCUGUUUCAAGUUAAGUGCCAAGUUCAAGAGGAUCAUGACAGUUGGUUUGCUGUUGAAUUUCUUCUCAGAGCUGGAUGGUCUUUCAACAACACUGCUCCGGGUCUUCAGCAAGAAAGGUGCUUCUCAUGCAAGGAAGAUACAGAGGAUCCUGGUGCCCAUGACUCAGGUAAAACAUGCACACUGCCAUGCAUCACAGUAAUGCUAAAAUUUCAAGAUCUAAUGUAAUGGGGAGAAGUAGGGUGUCUUGGAUCAUAUUGCAUUUCUCCCACUAAUUUCAAUCCUUCAGCCAGUUUUGAACUCAUUGUCUUCACCUCAGUUCUAACUACAGCUGGCUUUACACACAGCAGUCCUGGGCAAUGAUAUAACAGUCUUUUGCAGACUGACAACAUUGAUGUGAAGAGGGAGUGCAUGCUGAGGAGCUGACGGUCUACCUGAAUGAAGAGCCAGACAAAGUGGAUGUUGAUCUGGACGGUCCAGCUGAAACGUAUUGUCUUCGUGUGCGUGUGAUCGGCAGAGAGUCCUCAACGACAUUGGUAACGUACCUGUGGCCAUUGCAGUGUUUGUUUUGGUUUAUGCUCUUAAUCUCUGUUACCUUCCAGAAUGGAAGUACACUUUCAAAUUUCUGUUUCAUUCUAACCGUCUGUUUCAUCAGUUUUUGCACUGCUUUUAAAUGUACACUGUGUAAGAUUCUUAGUUGUUUAUUUCCAGAAUUCAUGCUACCCAUUCACUAAUGUUACCUUUUUCAUGAAUACUUAGCACCACCAUUAGGGUGCAUCAGUUGCCCCCUAUGAAAAGAUAUGGCCUUGGCCCUAUAGUAAAAAUGUUCUACACCCAGUAAAAACACACUGUGUAAAAUAUUUUGAAAUUUGGAUGAAGUCUACCGGGGCCACCAGC
Molecule: long non-coding RNA, 1005 nt
Organism: Engraulis encrasicolus (European anchovy)
Lineage: Eukaryota; Metazoa; Chordata; Actinopteri; Clupeiformes; Engraulidae
Exons: 3
Source: RefSeq, a predicted model, not a curated record